CGGCCGGCGGAAGCACAUCCUGAAGGAAGCGGCGCGCACGCUGCUGCCCUCGUCGAUCCUGGAUCGCCGCAAGCAGGGCUUCGGCGUGCCGCUGGGG
RNAcentral lists this unclassified non-coding RNA (97 nucleotides) under plant metagenome. Its description in RNAcentral is "partial contains 5.8S ribosomal RNA, internal transcribed spacer 2, and large subunit ribosomal RNA". The record is from RNAcentral.